UAGUCUCCUUGUUUGAUGCAAACGCAAAGC
RNAcentral lists this non-coding RNA (30 nucleotides) under Mus musculus (house mouse). Lineage: Eukaryota; Metazoa; Chordata; Mammalia; Rodentia; Muridae. The record is from RNAcentral.